UAUCCCUCCUCCCCAGGAAAUCAGCAUGUUCUCACGUCCAUAUGCCCAAAAUAACGCAAAAACUACCACCCCUUUUCCCUUCUUUUUUUCCUCCACCAUCCCCAAUAUCUAAAAAACCUAAUCUUUCAUAGUCCUGCCGCUGCUUAGAUUUACUGCCAAGAAUCUCUAAUUUUACACUAUUGAAUCGGUGAAAUCGAGACAAGCAAAGGGGCAGUCCUAAAUUGAUGCAAUAACGACAACCAAGGAAUCUCUGGAAUAGUCAAAAGGAGAUUCUGUUAGAUUCAUAAUUCAAAUCUCCCUACCCCUCUGCUUUUCCACAAUUUUGAGUUUUGAAUUUGUAUUUUUAAGUCUGGAUUCUUCUAUAAAUAUUGUCCUUCGUCAUCUAUGGAAGGGGGAAAAGAAAAUCCGUGAAAGAAAAAGAAAGCAAAUGGGUUUGGGAAAAAAAGGAAAAAACAAAGAGAGAGUUAAAAAACAAAACGCUGGGAAAAAUCAAAAAGAGGGAAGAAAAGGGAGAUAAAAUUGAAGGAAGAAAAAUGGUUUGAAAACAUGAGAAAAAUCGAAAGAAAAAGGGGGAAGAUUUAAAAAAAUGGGGACGAGAACAGGUUCGAAAAUUAAGGGUGUUAAAUUUCCAAGUUCUUUCUUUUGAUUUUGUCCAAAUUUGAAGUUUCAGAGUGGGUUCAUAGUCAUCAGAAACUAUCCCGACGUCAACAUUCCAGUUUACUGCACCAAAAAAGGCACAUAGUUAAUGAGAUCAAAUGAUGUGGAUUAGAGCUUAAAAGGAUCUAAAGGGAGCAAGAAAGUGCAGCUAAAGACUUGGAGCAGAAGGGCCUUAAGUACUGUGGUCGCGGUCUGCUGACCGCGAUCACGGUAGUCAAGCAAAAGUCAUUCAACCACGGUCACGUAGCUGCGGUCACAACCAUACUUACACGAUCAGGACUUAGCGGAGGAAUCUGCCCAAGGACAAAUCUAAAAAUACGCGCGGCUGAUCCCAAUUUUGACAAAAAGACUCAAACCCUAGAUUCAUACAUAAUAUUCCAUCUUUCCAAUUUUUAGGUUUAUAUCUUGAUUUCAUAGCCUCUAUUUUUUGAGAAGAAAAUAUUGUAUAAAUUUUAGGUGAAGAAUAUAUUGGAGACUUUCUCAGUGGAAGAUUUUCUCACUUCCAUUGUUGAUU
Long non-coding RNA from Capsicum annuum, 1171 nucleotides. RefSeq lists it as uncharacterized. NCBI's taxonomy places the organism in Eukaryota, Viridiplantae, Streptophyta, Magnoliopsida, Solanales, Solanaceae. The record is from RefSeq and is a predicted model, not a curated record. The transcript has 2 exons.